Chlorocebus sabaeus (green monkey) is the source of this 1696-nucleotide non-coding RNA. Lineage: Eukaryota; Metazoa; Chordata; Mammalia; Primates; Cercopithecidae. The record is from RefSeq and is a predicted model, not a curated record.
GGCGGUUUCGUCGGGUGUCUACCUCCAGGGGUCGUUCGUGAGCUAGAGAAACCCGGAGUUAGGAAGGAAGGGGCCUGGCCACACCCCUUCCGCUCUCGGCUGUGCGUUGCCCUGGUUCCCAGUGCAUUCUCUGUCGUGAGCCGAGCAAGGAGGUCGGACAGAAACAGGUCGUUUGUGUCUUUCCGCAAGAGCAGCCUGAGCUCUUUGAAGACUCCUUAGUCCGAAGCCUCUGGUGGCCGAUGGUCUGCAUCUUUCCCAUGUGCUCCUGAGGUACAAAAUGGACAUUUCAGCUGCUUUUAAUAGAAACUCACUUUGUCACUCGUAAAACUCAGGAAGCUGUCCCAAAUCCUGGGAGGACAUGAAAAGAGGCUCACUCUGCAGUCGAGUGCAGGUAUGCCUAUGGUAUGCAGGUCCCAAGACUCUCCACUUCUCUCUUAGUUUGAAGUGGGCAUUCUUUUAAGAAGUAGAGGACCCUGUGGUCACUGGCUUCCUUAGUGGUUCAUGUGAUUCACUGUCCACACAGUGAAUCACAGGACAAUCAGAGAGCAGGAAUCUGCAAAGGGGGGAUGUCAUGUGCUGAAUUGUAUCUCCUUAACAUUUAUAGAUUGAAGUGCUAGUCUCCAAUAUCUCAAGAUUUGACAGUAUUUGGAGGUGGGGCUUUUAAAGAGGUGGUUAAGCUAAAAUGAAGCCAUUAGAGUGGUCCUUAAUCCAAUAUGACUGGUCUCCUUAUAAGAAGGAGAAAUGCUAGGGAUGUGGAGGCACAGAGAAAAGCCCAUGUGAAGAGGCAGCAGAAGAGUGGCCAUGUGCAAGCCAAGAAGAGAGGCCUCAGAGGAAGCCCGCCCUGCCAACACUUUGAUCUUGAACUUUCGGCUUCCAGACUGUGAGAAAAUAAGUUUUUUUUGUUUAAGCCACCCAGUCUAUGGUAUUUUGUUAUGACAGUCCUAGCAGAGACUUGAAAGCCUAAAGGCUUAGGGUCCUGGGAAAAUAAAAGUUGAAAUUCAAGUCCUCCAGUUAACUGUUAUUAGGAACAGGAACUGUUUGAAAAUACCUUCUUUAAGUAUAGAAGAGGCCCCUGCUACACUCCCAUACACAUUUUCACUUUUUGUUUAGGAAGCGUAGAGCUUGCUGUUACACUGCCCUAAAAGUUCCUGGGUUGAGCCAGUUGCCAAUAGUAAGUUGGUAAAGAAAAAUAGGGAUGUCUGGCCAAUUAGGCUGGGUCUUUCAGUUGUCAUAUCUUCUACCCCUGCUAAAGGAUUAGUCUUGGGCUUUGUAGAUUCAAAACAAAAUUUAGUUCAGGCCUAAGUAAGUAAUUUACACACUAGUUCUAAGUAAUUAAUUGGAAUUCACUGAUUAACUGUGAGAACUAUAUUUUUUCAGGAAUACUGAACAAUUCAUGGUAGACUAGUCCUAAAAAAUCUUUUCCCAUUAGGAAGAGCUAAGUGAAGACCAAAAAAAAUGUACCUUGGAAAUAUCCUUGUGACCCUUGUCCAACUGAAAAGUCACUUCCUUAGCAAUGCUUCCUCUCACUUUCCUGGGGAGCAUUAGAUUGCCUCUGCUCUGAGAUCCCAAGGAACCUUCUGUCAGAAACCUCAACCCACAGUAUUUUAAUUAGUCGAGUAUAAGCCUGUAUUUCCCAUUAGACUGUGAGCUCCAAGAGGAAAGGGAUUGUGUGUUAUCUAUCAAGUUAUAUUAAUAG